This 405-nucleotide ribosomal RNA is filed under the name uncultured bacterium. RNAcentral's name for it is "bacterial SSU rRNA". It matches the Rfam family "Bacterial small subunit ribosomal RNA", at positions 354 to 776 of the family's 1533-position model. The record is from RNAcentral.
GUGGGGAAUAUUGGACAAUGGGCGCAAGCCUGAUCCAGCCAUGCCGCGUGAGUGAUGAAGGUCUUAGGAUUGUAAAGCUCUUUCACCGGUGAAGAUAAUGACGGUAACCGGAGAAGAAGCCCCGGCUAACUUCGUGCCAGCAGCCGCGGUAAUACGAAGGGGGCUAGCGUUGUUCGGAUUUACUGGGCGUAAAGCGCACGUAGGCGGACUUUUAAGUCAGGGGUGAAAUCCCGGGGCUCAACCCCGGAACUGCCUUUGAUACUGGAAGUCUUGAGUUCGAGAGAGGUGAGUGGAAUUGCGAGUGUAGAGGUGAAAUUCGUAGAUAUUCGCAGGAACACCAGUGGCGAAGGCGGCUCACUGGCUCGAUACUGACGCUGAGGUGCGAAAGCGUGGGGAGCAAACAGG